This 1261-nucleotide long non-coding RNA is filed under the name Helianthus annuus (common sunflower). RNAcentral's name for it is "hypothetical non coding rna". Lineage: Eukaryota; Viridiplantae; Streptophyta; Magnoliopsida; Asterales; Asteraceae. The record is from RNAcentral.
GAGUUGUUUUCUCUACUUUAAAGACCCAUUAUUUACAAGAUAUGAAAAUGUUAACACAGGAAGCUGAUGAUUGAAAGCAGUACUACAAAUGAUUUUGAGCUUACUCGUACAGAUGAACAUAACAACCUUCAUGUAAUGACAACCUUCAUCUUUUAGUUUACCAAGUAUAUUCACACAAAUCAGUGCAUACAAAACUGGACAUGUAAUGACAACAGAUGAACACAACAACACAAAUCAAGUAUCUUUAACUUACCUGAUGGCUGAACGUAUGAUGGUCUUCGAUGGUUGUUCUUGUUCGUCGAUUGAUUGCGGCUGAUGGCUGAACGUAUGCUGGUCGAUUGAUGGCUGAACGUAUAUUGAACGUGUUCGUCGAUUGAUGGCUGAACGUAUGCUGGUCGUCGAUGGUUGUUCUUGUUCGUCGAUCGAUUGCGGCUGCUGUAGAGAUCUUUUUAGGGUUUGGACUUUGCACUUUGGAGCGUGAAUUGAAGAAUGAAUUUCAAAAUUAGGAUAUACCCACCCCGCUUCUCACAUGACAUACCUGGUAUAUUUUUUUUAAUUUAAAUUCUUAGCAUGUCAUUAACGGGUCUUAACAGGUUAACGGGUUUUAACCUGUUUAGACACGAAAUUUAAAUAGGUCUUAUCGUGUCGACCUGUUUAGACACGAAACCUGUUAAGGUCAAACACGAAACCUGUUAACUUCGUGUAGGUUCGUGUCGUGUUAUCGUGUUCGUGUCAGAAUUGCCGGCCCUAAUAUUUAGAUUUAUUAGGUUUAAAAAUUUUUAAUUUUUGUAUACUAACAAUUAACAACAUUUAAUAAAUAAUAGAUCAAAAUUUGUGGGAAAAUUUUCGCUAGUUGCGACAACUUUACCACAUAUUUGGAAUUAGUUUUUAAAAUUAUUUUUUAUACUAACAAUAUCAUGAGUUAUUAAUAAAAAAAUAAUGUUUUGUGGGAAUAUUGUCGCAAGUUGUGACAACUUUGCCACGAUUUUGGACUUUAUAGUUUGUAAAAUUGUUUUUUUAUCUUAUAAACAAAUAACAUUAGUUAAUAAAUAAAAAAUGUUUUGUGGGAAAAACGAAGCAAAAUGCGACAACCUUGCCACACAUUUUUUAUUUUUCUAGUUUUUUUUAGUAUGCUUAUUUAUUGUACUAACAAUUAACAAAAACUGUUAAAUAUAAAUUAAAUUUUGUGGGAAAAUUGUGGCAAGUUGGUACAAAUUUGCCACGAUUUUGGAUAUUUUUUAGUUUUACAAAUUAUACUAAC